Molecule: non-coding RNA, 199 nt
Organism: Jatropha curcas
Lineage: Eukaryota; Viridiplantae; Streptophyta; Magnoliopsida; Malpighiales; Euphorbiaceae
Source: RefSeq, a predicted model, not a curated record
AUCCACAAUCAAAGAAUUUAAAGAUGACUUGAAAGAGGUCCAUUUUGUUCUGUUCUUCGAUGAGAUUUACGACGUUUGGUUAAAGAAAGCCAAAGAAUUGCUUCUACCUUGGCCUGACAGUCAAGAACGAUAAGGAAAUCUUUUUCCUCUAGUUUACAAUAGGAGGGAAACUUUUCUGUCCAGUAUAACAACUUUCCAA